AUCACCUGGGGACCUUGUUAAAAGGCAGACUCUGAGUAUGUCUGGAAUGGAGCCCAAGAGUCUACAUUUCUAACAAGUUCCCAGGUGAUGC
RNAcentral lists this microRNA precursor (91 nucleotides) under Dasypus novemcinctus (nine-banded armadillo). RNAcentral's name for it is "miRNA (ENSDNOG00000029902.1)". It matches the Rfam family "mir-544 microRNA precursor family". The record is from RNAcentral. Lineage: Eukaryota; Metazoa; Chordata; Mammalia; Cingulata; Dasypodidae.